This 324-nucleotide ribosomal RNA is filed under the name Triticum aestivum (bread wheat). RNAcentral's name for it is "partial small subunit ribosomal RNA". The record is from RNAcentral. Lineage: Eukaryota; Viridiplantae; Streptophyta; Magnoliopsida; Poales; Poaceae.
AUGUUGCUCUCUCCCCCCUGCGAAACCCUAGCCGCAUCUCCUUCCUCUCCCUCGUGCCACGAUCUCCUCUGCUUGCACCGCCCGAGUGACACCGCCGCCAUGCCGCCUCCACAGACGCCCCCACCGGCCUCCCCAAGCCCUGAGACAGCGACCAGGAGGACAACCACCAUCGAAUUCGUCCAUCCCGAGCAUCAAAUCGAGCGGAGCUGCACCGAAUCGCCGCCAUCGAGUUCGUCUUCGACAUCCUGCACCGCCGGCCGCCAUCGUCGAUUCGCUCGACCCCGACCGUCCCCGGCCUCCCCAACCACGUCCGUGGCUCCUUGA